Long non-coding RNA from Triticum dicoccoides, 841 nucleotides. RefSeq lists it as uncharacterized. NCBI's taxonomy places the organism in Eukaryota, Viridiplantae, Streptophyta, Magnoliopsida, Poales, Poaceae. The record is from RefSeq and is a predicted model, not a curated record. The transcript has 3 exons.
GGGCGAGGUGCUGCACCGACGUGGCGGCCGCCAAGGCUUCCCCUCCUCCGGAUCUGGCGGCCAUGGAGUUGGGGAUGCGUGGGAUGACGUUCGGCUACUAUGCAGCUCACUACGCCCACACAGGGAAGUAGUAGGAGAGCUGCAUCCUCCUCCUAGUGCGGGCUCAUAGAUGGCCGCCGCUUCACCUGCCCCCAUCCCGAUGAUCUCUGAGAUGCCCCCCCCUCGCUGUCUCUUUCUUUGAGAGGGGAUCCAAAGCGUGGCGAGCCUGCCGGAUCGUGUCGUCGCCAGAGCCACCAUGUGAAUCGCACGAGCACACACGUAUAUGCAAAGGUUUUCUUGUCUACAAGGAAUCGGCAGUACCCGGAUUUCGCGUGUGACUGCGGUCCACAGUAUGGGCACCUGCAGCUCUCUCUCCAUCCCGUGGAAGUACAUCACGAGCAAAAGGUCCUGGAGCAUGCGGUUCUGUUCUGCGUCAGGGAGACACGCCUCCAGCUGUGCUACUCGCUGGGAUUUUGGCCUGAGAGGACAACGACAGCCACACGAAAAGUUGUGCUUGUGCAGGUCUGCUGCCUCCGGCCUAGCUGUGGUGGCCACAUGGCGAGGCGCGCCCCCACCUGGAUUCCACCCCCAUGCAUGCAGUUCGGUGCUCCUUUAUGUGUGGUUAAUCGGAGCACCGGUUCCACCGACGUAGCUAUUGUUGCAGUUUUGUUGCCAUUUUUUGCAGUUCCUGUAAUUUGGAUAGCGAGCCUCCAUCCAUGCGGUUUGCCAGCGCAUCCAUGCAGUACGGCGCGCGUGUGUGUGCAGUACUAUUAGAACCUGAUGAUUUGCUUUGUAGAAAAGG